AGAGUUUGAUCCUGGCUCAGGAUAAACGCUAGCGGCAGGCCUAACACAUGCAAGUCGAGGGGCAGCGGGUGGAGUAUUUCGGUACUCCUGCCGGCGACCGGCGCACGGGUGCGUAACGCGUAUGCAACCUACCUUUAACAGGGGGAUAAUCCGAAGAAAUUUGGUCUAAUACCCCAUAAUAUCAUUUAAGGCAUCUUAGAUGGUUGAAAAUUCCGAUGGUUAGAGAUGGGCGUGCGUUGUAUUAGCUAGUUGGUGAGGUAACGGCUCACCAAGGCUACGAUACAUAGGGGGACUGAGAGGUUUUCCCCCCACACUGGUACUGAGACACGGACCAGACUCCUACGGGAGGCAUCA
Molecule: ribosomal RNA, 354 nt
Filed under: uncultured bacterium
Lineage: Bacteria
Description: bacterial SSU rRNA
Rfam family: Bacterial small subunit ribosomal RNA
Source: RNAcentral